CGGCUGCUCAGUAACACGUAGUCAACCUAACCUAUGGACGAGAAUAACCUCGGGAAACUGAGAAUAAUGCCCGAUAGAACACUAUACCUGGAAUGGUUUGUGUUUCAAAUGAUUUAUCGCCGUAGGAUGGGACUGCGGCCUAUCAGUUUGUUGGUGAGGUAAUGGCCCACCAAGACUAUUACAGGUACGGGCUCUGAGAGGAGUAGCCCGGAGAUGGGUACUGAGACACGGACCCAGGCCCUAUGGGGCGCAGCAGGCGAGAAAACUUUGCAAUGUGCGAAAGCACGACAAGGUUAAUCCGAGUGGUUUGUGCUAAACGAACCUUUUGUUAGUCCUAGAAACACUAACGAAUAAGGGGUGGGCAAGUUCUGGUGUCAGCCGCCGCGGUAAAACCAGCACCUCAAGUGGUCAGGAUGAUUAUUAGGCCUAAAGCAUCCGUAGCCGGCUCUGUAAGUUUUCGGUUAAAUCUGUACGCUUAACGUACAGGCUGCCGGGAAUACUGCAGAGCUAGGGAGUGGGAGAGGUAGACGGUACUCGGGAGGAAGGGGUAAAAUCCUUUGAUCUCUCGAUGACCACCUGUGGCGAAGGCGGUCUACCAGAACACGUCCGACGGUGAGGGAUGAAAGCUGGGGGAGCAAACCGGAUUAGAUACCCGGGUAGUCCCAGCUGUAAACUAUGCAAACUCAGUGAUGCAUUGACUUGUGGUCAAUGCAGUGCGGCAGGGAAGCCGUUAAGUUUGCCGCCUGGGAAGUACGUACGCAAGUAUGAAACUUAAAGGAAUUGGCGGGGGAGCAG
This 795-nucleotide ribosomal RNA is filed under the name uncultured marine thaumarchaeote. Its description in RNAcentral is "bacterial SSU rRNA". It matches the Rfam family "Archaeal small subunit ribosomal RNA", at positions 83 to 879 of the family's 1478-position model. Lineage: Archaea; Thermoproteati; Nitrososphaerota. The record is from RNAcentral.